UGCGUAGGCGGAAAAUUAAGUCAGUGAUGAAAUCCUGCAGCUCAACUGUAAAACUGUCAUUGAUACUGAUUUUCUUGAAUUUAGUUGAGGUAGGCGGAAUGUGUAAUGUAGCGGUGAAAUGCUUAGAUAUUACACAGAACACCGAUUGCGAAGGCAGCUUACUAAGCUAACAUUGACGCUGAGGCACGAAAGCGUGGGGAGCGAACAGGAUUAGAUACCCUGGUAGUCC
RNAcentral lists this ribosomal RNA (229 nucleotides) under uncultured bacterium. RNAcentral's name for it is "partial 16S ribosomal RNA". It matches the Rfam family "Bacterial small subunit ribosomal RNA", at positions 568 to 796 of the family's 1533-position model. The record is from RNAcentral.